RNAcentral lists this ribosomal RNA (1331 nucleotides) under Streptococcus salivarius. RNAcentral's name for it is "bacterial SSU rRNA". It matches the Rfam family "Bacterial small subunit ribosomal RNA", at positions 106 to 1426 of the family's 1533-position model. Lineage: Bacteria; Bacillati; Bacillota; Bacilli; Lactobacillales; Streptococcaceae. The record is from RNAcentral.
GUGAGUAACGCGUAGGUAACCUGCCUUGUAGCGGGGGAUAACUAUUGGAAACGAUAGCUAAUACCGCAUAACAAUGGAUGACACAUGUCAUUUAUUUGAAAGGGGCAAUUGCUCCACUACAAGAUGGACCUGCGUUGUAUUAGCUAGUAGGUGAGGUAACGGCUCACCUAGGCGACGAUACAUAGCCGACCUGAGAGGGUGAUCGGCCACACUGGGACUGAGACACGGCCCAGACUCCUACGGGAGGCAGCAGUAGGGAAUCUUCGGCAAUGGGGGCAACCCUGACCGAGCAACGCCGCGUGAGUGAAGAAGGUUUUCGGAUCGUAAAGCUCUGUUGUAAGUCAAGAACGAGUGUGAGAGUGGAAAGUUCACACUGUGACGGUAGCUUACCAGAAAGGGACGGCUAACUACGUGCCAGCAGCCGCGGUAAUACGUAGGUCCCGAGCGUUGUCCGGAUUUAUUGGGCGUAAAGCGAGCGCAGGCGGUUUGAUAAGUCUGAAGUUAAAGGCUGUGGCUCAACCAUAGUUCGCUUUGGAAACUGUCAAACUUGAGUGCAGAAGGGGAGAGUGGAAUUCCAUGUGUAGCGGUGAAAUGCGUAGAUAUAUGGAGGAACACCGGUGGCGAAAGCGGCUCUCUGGUCUGUAACUGACGCUGAGGCUCGAAAGCGUGGGGAGCGAACAGGAUUAGAUACCCUGGUAGUCCACGCCGUAAACGAUGAGUGCUAGGUGUUGGAUCCUUUCCGGGAUUCAGUGCCGCAGCUAACGCAUUAAGCACUCCGCCUGGGGAGUACGACCGCAAGGUUGAAACUCAAAGGAAUUGACGGGGGCCCGCACAAGCGGUGGAGCAUGUGGUUUAAUUCGAAGCAACGCGAAGAACCUUACCAGGUCUUGACAUCCCGAUGCUAUUUCUAGAGAUAGAAAGUUACUUCGGUACAUCGGUGACAGGUGGUGCAUGGUUGUCGUCAGCUCGUGUCGUGAGAUGUUGGGUUAAGUCCCGCAACGAGCGCAACCCCUAUUGUUAGUUGCCAUCAUUCAGUUGGGCACUCUAGCGAGACUGCCGGUAAUAAACCGGAGGAAGGUGGGGAUGACGUCAAAUCAUCAUGCCCCUUAUGACCUGGGCUACACACGUGCUACAAUGGUUGGUACAACGAGUUGCGAGUCGGUGACGGCAAGCUAAUCUCUUAAAGCCAAUCUCAGUUCGGAUUGUAGGCUGCAACUCGCCUACAUGAAGUCGGAAUCGCUAGUAAUCGCGGAUCAGCACGCCGCGGUGAAUACGUUCCCGGGCCUUGUACACACCGCCCGUCACACCACGAGAGUUUGUAACACCCGAAG